RNAcentral lists this ribosomal RNA (468 nucleotides) under uncultured bacterium. RNAcentral describes it as "partial 16S ribosomal RNA". It matches the Rfam family "Bacterial small subunit ribosomal RNA", at positions 28 to 507 of the family's 1533-position model. The record is from RNAcentral.
GAUGAACGCUAGCGGCGGGCUUAACACAUGCAAGUCGAACGGCAAGGCGCUGCUGCAGUGGCCUGCUCGAGUGGCGAACGGGUGAGUAACACGCGAGUAACCUGCCCUCGACUCUGGGAUAACUUCAGGAGACUGGGGCUCAUACCGGCUAGGAGCUCCUGUUGCACAGGGGAGGAUGGUGAGUGUCGGCGGUUGGGGUUGGUCUCGCGGCUUAUCAGCUUGUUGGUGGGGGAGUGGCUUACCACGGCUUUGACGGGUAGCCGGCCUGUGAGGGGGACCGGCCACAGUGCGAAUGCGAUACGGCCCCGGCUCCUACGGGAGGUGGCAGUGGGGAAUAUUGCACAAUGGGCGGAACCCUGUGGGAGCAGCGCCGCGUGCGGGAUGUCGGCCGUCGGGUUGUGGGCCGAUUUAGCGUGUGACGAAGGGUGGGUGACGGUACUAGGUGAAGAAGCAUCGGCUAACUACGUG